This 253-nucleotide ribosomal RNA is filed under the name uncultured bacterium. RNAcentral's name for it is "partial 16S ribosomal RNA". It matches the Rfam family "Bacterial small subunit ribosomal RNA", at positions 524 to 776 of the family's 1533-position model. The record is from RNAcentral.
UACGGAGGGGGCUAGCGUUGUUCGGAAUUACUGGGCUUAAAGCGCACGUAGGCGGCUUUGUAAGUUAGAGGUGAAAGUCUGGAGCUCAACUCCAGAAUUGCCUUUAAGACUGCAUCGCUUGAAUCCAGGAGAGGUGAGUGGAAUUCCGAGUGUAGAGGUGAAAUUCUUAGAUAUUCGGAAGAACACCAGUGGCGAAGGCGGCUCACUGGACUGGUAUUGACGCUGAUGUGCGAAAGCGUGGGGAGCAAACAGG